CCAGACUCCUACGGGAGGCAGCAGUGGGGAAUAUUGCACAAUGGGGGAAACCCUGAUGCAGCAACGCCGCGUGAGUGAAGAAGUAUUUCGGUAUGUAAAGCUCUAUCAGCAGGGAAGAAGAUGACGGUACCUGAUUAGGAAGCCCCGGCUAACUACGUGCCAGCAGCCGCGGUAAUACGCAGGGGGCAAGCGUUAUCCGGAUUUACUGGGUGUAAAGGGAGCGCAGACGGCAGUGCAAGUCUGGAGUGAAAGCCCGGGGCCCAACCCCGGGACUGCUCUUGGAACUGCGUGGCUGGAGUGCAGGAGGGGCAGGCGGAAUUCCUGGUGUAGCGGUGAAGUGCGUAGAUAUCAGGAGGAACACCGGCGGCGAAGGCGGCCUGCUGGACCGUGACUGACGUUGAGGCUCGAGAGCGUGGGGAGCAAACAGGAUUAGAUACCCCGGUACC
RNAcentral lists this ribosomal RNA (446 nucleotides) under uncultured bacterium. RNAcentral's name for it is "partial 16S ribosomal RNA". It matches the Rfam family "Bacterial small subunit ribosomal RNA", at positions 331 to 794 of the family's 1533-position model. The record is from RNAcentral.